CGGGCUGCAGCAAGUCGUGCGCAAUGGAGGGGGGGGUGGGAGGACUCGGCGAGCCCGGCCAGGCGCACAGCGAGCUGGAACAACGCGGGGAUUGAACAGUGAACAUGCACCAGGACUCCGGCUCCACGGCUCAUCCACACUAAGUGACUCCUCUGCAGCCCCGGACUCGCUUGUGAAACUCCCGAUGUUCGAGGAUGACGCGCACAGCCUCCACUCCUCCGCCUGCACACUUUGUUUGUAAAGACUCAAUGAACCUGCUGUCAACUCUGGUGUGAGACACUCAGGUCAUGACGAGUGAAUGGAGAGUUUGUAAAAAGAGCCACAUUAUCUCCAGAUUAUGCUCACGAGGAGUUGCUGGUCGGUGACAGGCAGCUUAAAGACGCCUUUCUUCCCCCGUUCAGUGCGUUGAGCCAUCGAUCAUCUGCCCCCGGUGCCAGCGACGGUGUCAUAACAUGAUAAUGCGGCUUCACAAGUUCAGCGGCGAUUCCUGUGGCACAAAAAACCCGGAGCGGUGGGAUCCGAUGGGACGUUUUUACAGGCAUGAAAUGACGAUAUCAAAGCCUCCCGCAGUCCGGGGGCGCGGGCAGCAGAGACGCCAGCAAGCCGCGCAGGACGCACGGACUUUUACGCACAGAGACACCGGAGCAAAUAUUCUGCUGUGAGAAUGUGCUCGUGGAGUUUGUUAAUUCUGUGACUUUUUGGUCUCUCGCCCUCCCCUUCCAGCAACAUUUGGCACCACUGGUAUUAUUUCAGGUGUGCUAAUGGUGUCACAGACACUUUUGCCAUGAGAGGAGGAGACGGGACGAACUGAAAAGAGGAGGACAGAAGGAGAAGAUGAAGAACAAAAGGAGAGGAUUAUUGCCAUCAUCAUCAUCAUCAUCAUCAUCAUCAUCAUCAUCAUGAACUCCUCUCCCCCCCAAAAAAUCAGGCUUUGGGCAAGGGAAGGAAGUCACAUGUCGGCCAGUUGCACCAUUCAGGGUGGAGGGGUGAGGGUGGCAGUGGGUGAAUGGUAGAAGAUGGGGGGGGGUUGUCACACCUCCCACUGAGGCUGUGAAUUGAUCAGCACCUUAGAGAGAGAGAGAGAGAGAGUGAAAUAGAGGGAAGGAGGGACAGAGGAGAGUGAGAAAAAAGGAAAGAUGAGGGAUGAUGAUGAGGGCUGGAAAAAGCUGGGUGUUGGAGCCGGGCUAUAAAACCAGGAGGGAGGGGAAGAAAAAGAAAAACAGAGCGAUAGGAAGCGAGGAGUGAGGGAAGGCUGCAGAAGAGGUGUGAAGACUCAUCUUUUCCUGGAUGGGUGUGAGUUUAGGCUGGAGCGGAGAGUGGCCUGGGAGCACAGCAAAGCCUGGUGGUAAUAAACCAGCCAGAAACAGCAGCUAUAAGGGAAACACACGAAGGGCUGUGAUUCCAAAUGAAAGACGCAGUCCUAUAAUAUUUCAAAAAACGACAAGAGAUUAUUAAUAUCUGAGGGUAGGUUCUUAAAACACAAUGUGAAAAUACACCAGUUGUUAAGUUGGGUCUAUUUUCAGUCACUGGACAGACUUGGAUUUUGACAACAAAGGGUUUGAAG
Molecule: long non-coding RNA, 1564 nt
Organism: Paralichthys olivaceus (Japanese flounder)
Lineage: Eukaryota; Metazoa; Chordata; Actinopteri; Pleuronectiformes; Paralichthyidae
Source: RefSeq, a predicted model, not a curated record